Molecule: long non-coding RNA, 449 nt
Organism: Felis catus (domestic cat)
Lineage: Eukaryota; Metazoa; Chordata; Mammalia; Carnivora; Felidae
Exons: 2
Source: RefSeq, a predicted model, not a curated record
GGCACUGCCCGAUGGGAGGGCAAGAGGCCGUGACACAUACCUGCCUGUUCCUCCAAGGAGUGAAAAAGAACAAGCCUUCAUUUGUAUUUCAAGAGGGGCACCUUCAUAACCCUGCUUGCAACGUCAGAAUCCACAGGUUUACCACGAGCAUGCACUCCACUGGUCUCCAUCCCGCUGGGAUACUCACCCACGGCCAAUUCUCUCCUUCUCGGGACUGCGCCCCCCCCCCCCCCCCCGCGUCGCACCGGGUGAAGCCAUGUGACCGGCGAUGGCCAAGGAACUCUGGGAGGAAGUGACGUGUUGCUGUUUCCCCUGCCUCAGUGACCCGGACGUGGAGGUACCACAAAACAGAGGCAGCCUGGAUCCCUGGAGGGGCAAUGGCCCCGGAGAAUCACUUGAGCUCCCAGCACACCUCGCUGGCUGCAAAACAAACUUUUGUUGUGCUGAGA